This is a non-coding RNA of Xyrichtys novacula (pearly razorfish), 4076 nucleotides long. The record is from the annotation of a GenBank genome assembly. NCBI's taxonomy places the organism in Eukaryota, Metazoa, Chordata, Actinopteri, Labriformes, Labridae.
AAAGCAGAAUUAAAACUCGGGCUGUGGUGAUCAGGGCAGGAAUUGAUGCGGUCAUUUUUUUAAAUCAAGUUUUCUAUUGAUUCUCUUUGUGGUUAAUCGAUAUAUCAAAUGAGAAAUGUUGCUCUGCAGCUGCAAAUUCCUCAGUUGUGAGACUAACAGGGGAUUGUCUCAUCUUAUUAAAUAGAUAUACAAGAAGUCCAUUAGAUUGGCUAUUACAUAUCAACUUACUAUGUUGAAGGGAGCAAAAAACAUCGACAGGUUUAGAGGCAGAUGGAUGGAUCGCACACAAAGGAAAGAGGACAGUCGAACCUACAUACACCCACUAUUAUUACGGUAUGAGUUUCAGUCACAGGUUAGCAACUCCUUGAAGGUCUUGUUGAACACUCCUUGACACACUGAGUGACACAACUUUUGAGAAACACAGUCAUCUCCUGCCGCAAACUGACUAGUUUAUAGGGCAUUCCUCUACCAGUGACCUCCUCAAUAAAACGCAUACUUGCAGAGUUCACAUCCCAAACCUCAGAGAUGGCAAGUGUGUGGCCUCAUCUUGAAUACAUGGCAGAUUGCUACUGAGCAAAGCUGUGCUGUCAGCCUGCAAAUUGGCUGUGAAUGUCCUCAAGUUCUCUUGCCAAGACAAGUUGUGUCGGUUAGAGAAAAUCAGUCCUUUGCACAGAGAGCUGACUUGGGUUAGCAAACUGUCAGCUGAUUAUGAGAUGAGAUUUUAGGAAGCUACCAGAUCAUUGCAAAGCAAGUGAUAGCAGGUCUCCACUCCUCUUCAAUUCUCUUAAGUGAAGUGUACUAUGUCUGUAGAACCGUGUUCAAGUAAGCAGCUACACCGACAGACAUCAAAAAGAUGCCAGACUCUGAUUUUGUUGAUAGGAUUUUAAAUGACAGACACAUUUCUCAAGAAGAUCUAUGGUUCAGGUCGACAACGGAAUAAUGCAUCAGGCUCAAGAAUGAUGGUUAGCUUGGAAUUACCAUAAAAAUAGAGAGGCCAAAUUCACCAGAUAACAAAGCAUGUGCCAUCAACCUGCGCCAGUGCCUAGAUAUAAAGCCAAGAAGAAAUAAAUGGUGUUAUGAGGACUUCAAGAAGAUAUUGGAUGAGACCAUAAUGUGAAAGGAUGCAGAAAUUCUUCCAGGGCAAGAAUCUGGCAUGUCUCUAAGCAUGGUACAUCCCACAGCAUGGGGUAUAUCACCUGCAAAAACUUGGGAUAAUGUGUUGUUGUUGGUUGCUCAGCGAGGUUUCAAGAGAUUUUCAUUUUCAAUGACUAUUCCCAGACUGGUCCUCUGUUGUUUUUUUGGAAAGGUCCUUUGUCGAUCAUGGGUAAUUUAGAGAUUUUUCCACCAGGUUUAUAUGAUAGCAGAAGACCAAGAUUGUGUAAGAUUCCUGUAGAACGAGAAUCAUACCUAGCAUGUCAACGACAGGAUGAAACUUCACUUGUUUGGCACGGCUUCUUCACCAGGCUACGCCAACUACGGGGCUGAAAAAUCUUGCCUCUGAUGAACCAGAUACCGCCUGGUUCAUCUGAAGAACAUUCAUGCUGUUGAUGGUUUGAAAAGCAUAGUACUAGUAGCUAUAAGUGAAGCAAUCCAGCUGUCAAUGGGGAGAAUUCUGCAACACUGGUGCAUGUUGUUUGCAGAAGUUUACGAAAGGGAAGUCCUGACACUAAUUCGAAAAGAAGACUGUGCUGAUACUGCAAAGAACCUUGAUACGGCAUCGGUUUCACUACACAUAGCAAGAGCAGUUGGCGUACAGUAAUGCAUUGAUUCUGACAAGUUGUGAGUAGUAUAAAUAGUAGUAAGGCCCCAAAUCAAACCCCCUUCUCCAUGAUCCCCCUUGUGGCUCAGUAUCUCAUCUAUUAAAAACCACAAUCAGAAAGUGAAGUCAAUUUAAUUUGCAAAGCGCUUUAAAAACCGCUUUCCUGUGCACAGGUGAAAUAAAACUGUACAGAGACAUAAAAGAUUAUGAUAAUCCAACACAAUUGUAUUUCUCAUAAUACUCAUUUUACAUGCACAUGAAAAACUAAACAAAUAACAGUGUGCUGUGAGCUGCGCUUUGACACAAAUAUGUUCAGUCAGCAUAUUCGAUAAAGCGGGGCGGUAGGCUCUACAAACUGGGCCCCACAACUGAAACAGAAGCAAUUCAUUUCCAGGGGUAGAGGCCAUUAACUCAGCUCCAGCUGCAGGUAGUGGUAGGUGACAGCACUACAGCUUAGACACAAUAUAUGAUCUACAUUCUAGGCAUACCGUAAUGGAAGUAGAUAAUAAAACACAAAAUUACAAUCAGAAAUUGUUAUAAAUUAAUAAUCGAUUCAGCUGACAUGUAAUUUCAACGCCGACUUGCAAGGGUGACAACAUCAUUAAAUCUACUUAAUGCUCACACCUCUAGUGGUCCUCAGCUUACGCUGAGCCAUAAGGAAGAUCAGGAAGGCUGUUCAGGAGACUCGGGUUGGGGUUGAGGAUAUGAAAAGGUCCGUGUCAGCAGUUCUCCCUAACAGUGAACAGCCUGAGCUAAGACCCAAUUCAAUCCUCCUAGACAUGGAACAGCUGGCAUGGACUUCCUUCAAACCACAAGUUCAUCUUCUCCACAACCUCUUGAUGUCUUAGCUAUCUUAUCUCUAUCUCUAUCUCUAUGUAUAAUUGCUUUCUGCUCUUAAUACUAACCUGUUACCUGUUGGCCCCGCUGAUUACAUGUCAAGAGGGCUUGACACGGAUGUCCACCCUCAUAUAUUUUUGGUUUAAGCUGCUGUGACGUUGCAGGAAACUCUGAGGAGGAGAUAUUAGAAUCAAAAAAGGAAUAUCCCUGAUGAAGGAAAUUCACAGUGCCGGCUGUAGGCUUCACUUAAGAUCUGUCGUUUUAAUUGGCUAGAGAUAAUUAUAGCUGUGUGACACAGGUCGCAGGCAAAUUGGCUGUUCUGGCAUGAGAAACAGGCGGUUUCCAAUUAUGUAACCAAAAGCAUUCUCUCCCCCCUGCCCCUGCCUCCUUCUUUUCCGUGUUUGUACAGAGCACGUUGAAUUGGGUAUAAGAGGUAAAUGCAUAACUUCAAACACUGUGUCACGGAUAAAAGAUCAAAUGAGAAAGAAAUACAGAAAACACAGUGUAGUGGUAAGAAGUUUACCAAGUGGUAAAAAUUAAACAACCUAGUAUUGAAAAACAAUAACAUCAUAGAUCAGAGAAUUGCUCAAGGGUGCUUCACUUAAGCUUCGGACCAACAGAGAUACGCAUACUAAUGUUACUGUCUCUGGGUUUUGAGAGUUUUUCUUCAGCGAUGAUGGAAUUUCUGUCAGCAGUGAUGUCUCCAAACAGUAGGCUGAUAAUGUGUUGUCUGUCCUGGCACUAUGUCCAUCGGCUUCAAAGCCUUGUAGUGCACUCCCCCUGAGGCUUGGUUGGACCUCAUCUCAGUCAGGCACAGUGAGCUUCUGAAGUAAUCGCUGGAUUGAUGGAUGCUGUCGUGUGGAAGCCAGUGAUCCUGAGUGAUUUCUGUUUUUUUAUCAGACGCUCCGCUUAUUUAUCUGAUUAUCAGAUAAUGGCUGUUUUUUUUUUUCUCUCUUAAGAUUUUGACUUUUUAAAACAGAUUUAUUCAUCUCAUUAUCUCAAGGGAACGAGUCAUUUUUCCUCAUGAUGCUAGCAUAAUGUUCUAUCUACAAAUUACAACAAUAGACUGGUUGUUGUGAUGGACCAGACCAGGACACGCCAUGCUACCAGUGCACACACUGAUGAGGUUUGGUAAGCCUCUUUGUAAUUGUUUUAUGCCUUUACAAUUCUGAUAAUACCGGUGCUUUCAUACCCAAUCUUUUUGGUUGCGGUAAACACAAAACUCAAGUCAAUUUACUAAAUUCCUUUGUACUGCUGUGAAAGCUGGCAUCCAAACCCAACUCGACCAAGCAACUGUACCAAGACACUGUAUAUAGAACGGACGUCAUCUGCUUGCUUGCUAGGUGAAGCAUCUGUGAGAACAGCACCCCCUGGUGAUGGGCUGCAGUAUAGGUCAUAAAUCAGGGGCGGCUGUAUCUCAGGAGGUAGAGCGUUUUUUUCAGCGGAAGGUUGGCGAUUUGAUUCCCCCCUAUCCCAAGUC